AACGCGAAGAACCUUACCCAGGUUUGACAUGCAUAGGAAUAUAUCAGAGAUGGUAUAGCCUUUCGGGGCCUAUGCACAGGUGCUGCAUGGCUGUCGUCAGCUCGUGCCGUGAGGUGUUGGGUUAAGUCCCGCAACGAGCGCAACCCUUAUCAUUAGUUGCCAGCGCGUAAAGGUGGGAACUCUAAUGAGACUGCCCGGGUUAACCGGGAGGAAGGUGAGGAUGACGUCAAGUCCGCAUGGCCCUUAUGUCUGGGGCUACACACGUGCUACAAUGGUCGGUACAGAAGGCAGCGAAGCUGUGAAGUGGAGCAAAUCCCUAAAGCCGACCUCAGUUCAGAUUGUAGUCUGCAACUCGACUACAUGAAGAUGGAAUUGCUAGUAAUGGCGUGUCAGCAACAACGCCGUGAAUACGUUCCCGGGCCUUGUACACACCGAGUAUA
This 440-nucleotide ribosomal RNA is filed under the name uncultured bacterium. RNAcentral describes it as "bacterial SSU rRNA". It matches the Rfam family "Bacterial small subunit ribosomal RNA", at positions 958 to 1398 of the family's 1533-position model. The record is from RNAcentral.